RNAcentral lists this transfer RNA (73 nucleotides) under Camelus bactrianus (Bactrian camel). It matches the Rfam family "tRNA". From Rfam's summary of the family: Transfer RNA (tRNA) molecules are approximately 80 nucleotides in length. RNAcentral also lists the same sequence under 3 other names. Lineage: Eukaryota; Metazoa; Chordata; Mammalia; Artiodactyla; Camelidae. The record is from Rfam by way of RNAcentral.
GAGGGUGUAGCUCAGGUGGUAAAGUGCAUGCUUAGCAUGCAUGAGGUCCUGGGUUCAAUCCCCAGUACCUCCA